This 199-nucleotide transfer RNA is filed under the name Methanococcoides burtonii DSM 6242. RNAcentral's name for it is "tRNA-Trp". The stretch from base 42 to 116 matches the Rfam family "Small nucleolar RNA sR3". The record is from RNAcentral. Lineage: Archaea; Methanobacteriati; Methanobacteriota; Methanomicrobia; Methanosarcinales; Methanosarcinaceae.
GGGGCUGUGGCCUAGCCUGGAAUGGCGACGGGCUCCAGCGGAUAAAUGAUGAACAACGGGUCUACUGAGAUCUGCUCGACGGAGUGGGUCGGUGAAGAGCCGUUGGAGCACUGAUGUGUGUUCUUAAGAAUUGACUGUCGUAAGGCAGUUGUUCGGAGAGACCCGUCGAUCGAGAGUUCGAAUCUCUCCAGCCCCACAU